RNAcentral lists this unclassified non-coding RNA (218 nucleotides) under Hevea brasiliensis (rubber tree). The record is from RNAcentral. Lineage: Eukaryota; Viridiplantae; Streptophyta; Magnoliopsida; Malpighiales; Euphorbiaceae.
GUUUAAAGGGUGAGGAGAACUGGUUUUUCCAUUGUUUGGAAAGGCUAGAGAAAGGUGACGGACUGGAUAUGUAAUGGUGAAAUAUUCUCCUGGCGCCCAAAAAAUUGUUUCUCUCCAAUUUGAGGAGAAAAGGAGGGCAAAAUUUGUCUUCUUUGCUGUACUUACAGGCAAAUUCUCUUUUUUUUUUUCUUUUCACUUUUUUGUGGAUGAAGGAUUUU